This is a non-coding RNA of Oryza sativa Japonica Group (Japanese rice), 1387 nucleotides long. Lineage: Eukaryota; Viridiplantae; Streptophyta; Magnoliopsida; Poales; Poaceae. The record is from RefSeq and is a predicted model, not a curated record.
UUAAUAAAUAUAGUAGUAUUUUAAAAAAACGAAUAUGUUGUUAAAAUAUAUUCAAAGCAAUUAUAAUAUGGAGUAAAAGGAGUACUAAUUUAGAAAAAAACGAAGGACAGAAAAGAAAGGAAAGGAAAAGUAAAAGCAAACGACGAUUCAGACAGACAGGCUCCCUUCCAUGCCUCCCCAUUGCUCCUACUCUCCCUUGAGGCCUUGACCCACCCCCAGGAAAAGCAAGGGAAGCAUGCCCAGCAAAAUCGAACCCACAAAACCUCAGGAAUUACCAUCGCCUAGCAAGGAAUCAACAAUCCGUGGUCAAUCCAUGGCAGAUCAGGAUGUGGCCGAGCCAUGGGGCUUGUCGGCAUGGCCCCCCUUGACCUCCCUCCUCCUCCGAGCCAUGAGGAAGCGGCGCACCUGGGCGGCCCUCUUCCUCGCCGUGUACGCCUCUCUGCUCUGCUCGUCGUGGCGCCUGGUGGAGUCCGUGCGCGCCUGGUACUACUCCGCGGCCGGCGGGGCUGGCGCCGUCGCGGCGUGGCCGGCGGCUUUCUACGCGUCCGUGAUGUACGGUGCCGUCUUCGGGCUCCUGUCGAUGGGAGCCGCGUUAGCCGUGGCGGCGCCGGCCAUGCUCAUCACAUGGAUCACCGUGUUGGUGCUACUCGCGUUCGCCGGAAAGCCGCGGAGGUCGCUGGUCGCAGAGGGGCGGCGCGCCACGGCCGAUAUCGCGCGGCUCGCGCUCCGCGUCUUGCUGCGCGAGGGCAACGCAGUCGCUGCGCUCUGCGCCGCCGCCAGCUUCGCGGCCCUCCUCCUCGGCCGCCGCGACGACGACCCGGCGGAGGGGAGCGGCAGCUGAUGUGACGCUUCCUGCAAAAUUGUUCAAUUCCAUGUUUUUUUCUUUCAGUUAAUAUCCGUUUUGGGGUUUCAGUGUUUCACCAACCACCCCUCCCUCACCAUCCUUUUUUUUUUCUGUAGAGGUAUGGCAUCUGUUGCAAGACUUCACCCUUCCGACAGCUAGAAGAAAGCCGUGCAGACUGCAGAACAGAGGAUCCAAAUGGGAGAUCUCGGCCUGGAAGGUACUAGGCGUAGAAGAAACACCGGUUGAGUCCGUUAGGACAUCCCUGAUGGAAGCCACGUGUAGUAGACUAGUAGUAGACUCAUGUAAGCCAAUAUAAUCUAGGAUUAAGGGCCCUUUGAAUCAAACAAAUUAUGGAGGAAAUUUCAUAAGAUUGAAAUCCUACCGGAAAUUUUCUUAUGUAGCUCUUUGAUGAAAAGGAUUGAAAUCCUACAAAAUUCCUAUGGAAUGGCUUGUUGCAUAUAGGUUUUGGAGAGGUCCAAUCUCUUGGUAAAAAUCCUUUGAGUUUAUCUCUCUCAUCCGAUUCCUAUGUUUUUUCUGUGGUCU